GAUGAACGCUGGCGGCGUGCCUAACACAUGCAAGUCGAGCGAGAUGUAUAUGGACGAAACUUCGGUCUAGGAAAUAUAUUGACAGCGGCGGACGGGUGAGUAACGCGUAGGCAACCUGCCCUUAACACAGGGAUAGCCUCGGGAAACCGGGAUUAAAACCUGAUAAUGCCAAAUAGUCACAUGGCUGUUUGGCCAAAGAUUUAUCGGUUAAGGAUGGGCCUGCGUCUGAUUAGUUUGUUGGUGGGGUAACGGCCUACCAAGACUACGAUCAGUAGCCGACCUGAGAGGGUGAUCGGCCACAUUGGAACUGAGACACGGUCCAAACUCCUACGGGAGGCAGCAGUGGGGAAUAUUGCACAAUGGGCGAAAGCCUGAUGCAGCAACGCCGCGUGAGCGAUGAAGGCCUUUGGGUCGUAAAGCUCUGUCCUUGGGGUAAGAACAAAUGACGGUACCCAAGGAGGAAGCCCCGGCUAACUACGUGCCAGCAGCCGCGGUAAU
RNAcentral lists this ribosomal RNA (498 nucleotides) under uncultured bacterium. Its description in RNAcentral is "bacterial SSU rRNA". It matches the Rfam family "Bacterial small subunit ribosomal RNA", at positions 28 to 524 of the family's 1533-position model. The record is from RNAcentral.